GCCGAAGUGGCGGAAUUGGCAGACGCGCACGUUUGAGGGGCGUGUGGGGUAACCCGUGCGGGUUCAAGUCCCGCCUUCGGCACCA
This 85-nucleotide transfer RNA is filed under the name Nitrospiraceae bacterium. RNAcentral's name for it is "tRNA-Leu". It matches the Rfam family "tRNA". Rfam says of the family: Transfer RNA (tRNA) molecules are approximately 80 nucleotides in length. Their secondary structure includes four short double-helical elements and three loops (D, anti-codon, and T loops). The record is from RNAcentral. Lineage: Bacteria; Pseudomonadati; Nitrospirota; Nitrospiria; Nitrospirales; Nitrospiraceae. RNAcentral also lists the same sequence under 2 other names.